Molecule: long non-coding RNA, 1066 nt
Organism: Gambusia affinis (western mosquitofish)
Lineage: Eukaryota; Metazoa; Chordata; Actinopteri; Cyprinodontiformes; Poeciliidae
Exons: 4
Source: RefSeq, a predicted model, not a curated record
UUUAGUUUUCAAAGUGAAGCCAACAUGGAAACACAAGAUUAACAUUUAGUGAUGUUAAUUUGUUUGUUUUUUUGGUUUUGUUUUGUUUUUUCUGUAUUUUAGACAGACGUACUCCGUUAACCUGAUUUGGAUUUUCACCGAAAGGUCCUGUUAAAAGGCUACAAGUAAUAACCUCUUAUCUGUUCCCAUGGAAAACUGUCAUGGCCGCUGCAGUUAGCAUAAAUAGCCAGAAGAUGCUGAAGCUAACAGCUGGUCCCGCUAGCUAGUGACAGUGACUAAGACGUGUUGAUACAGCAUGUUUGUCACACUUUAAAGUGUUUGUUUUGUAUUAUUAGAAGAUAAUUCUUAGUCCAAUAAUUUGUAACCUCACAUUUUGCAAGUCUACAUUACUAACACGGGAAACCGGUAGGAGGAGGUGCGGCGCUAUUAGCUUUAGCCCUUGGGAUACGAGAAGAGCUACCAAUUACAGUCAGUGAUGGUGUCAUGAAAUACGGUGUGAGGUGGUGAGGCAGAUGCUGAGGACCCAGACUGGAAUGAAUAACGGUGAAUUUAAUGAUGAAUCCAGAAAUGCAAAAGUCCAAAAUCUGCUGGUAGCAACUGGUGAGACAGCUGGACAGCAAGACAAAUACGACAGAAUCGAUGAGGAUCCGACAAAGACACAGAAACGCAGAGCGGACAAUCCCUGACCGGUGAUUUGAGGUCAGUGUGCGACGUGUGGUUGAGCAACAAGAAGACGAGCCUCUCCAGUUCUCUCUCUCGGUCAGAUUUUUGUCGGUCAGGCGACCAUGAUGCGACUGGCGUGGGACGGUCUUCCUUCUCCACAGGGGCUUCAGUCAGAAAAUAAAACAGAUUUUUUCAACCAGUGGGUUCCAAACUUAUCACCGUCCAAUCAACUUAAACGUGGAAGAGACGCAAGACCCGGACUAUCGGUUGAGUCUACAAGCAUUUCUACAAAAUCAAACAAAAAUCAGCAUCAGCAGUCGGAGCAGUUUGCCAGUCCAUCAGUCAGAGGGUUUCUGAUCUCUGGGGAUAAAGUUCGUGGAGCGUCUUCAGGAAGCCCGAUCCC